GACGAACGCUGGCGGCGUGCUUAACACAUGCAAUUCGAACGGAAAGGCCCUGCUUUUGUGGGGUGCUCGAGUGGCGAACGGGUGAGUAACACGUGAGUAACCUGCCCUUGACUUUGGGAUAACUUCAGGAAACUGGGGCUAAUACCGGAUAGGAGCUCCUGCUGCAUGGUGGGGGUUGGAAAGUUUCGGCGGUUGGGGAUGGACUCGCGGCUUAUCAGCUUGUUGGUGGGGUAGUGGCUUACCAAGGCUUUGACGGGUAGCCGGCCUGAGAGGGUGACCGGCCACAUUGGGACUGAGAUACGGCCCAGACUCCUACGGGAGGCAGCAGUGGGGAAUAUUGCACAAUGGGCGGAAGCCUGAUGCAGCAACGCCGCGUGCGGGAUGACGGCCUUCGGGUUGUAAACCGCUUUCGCCUGUGACGAAGCGUGAGUGACGGUAAUGGGUAAAGAAGCACCGGCUAACUACGUGCCAGCAGCCGCGGUGAUACGUAGGGUGCGAGCGUUGUCCGGAUUUAUUGGGCGUAAAGGGCUCGUAGGUGGUUGAUCGCGUCGGAAGUGUAAUCUUGGGGCUUAACCCUGAGCGUGCUUUCGAUACGGGUAGACUUGAGGAAGGUAGGGGAGAAUGGAAUUCCUGGUGGAGCGGUGGAAUGCGCAGAUAUCAGGAGGAACACCAGUGGCGAAGGCGGUUCUCUGGGCCUUUCCUGACGCUGAGGAGCGAAAGCGUGGGGAGCGAACAGGCUUAGAUACCCUGGUAGUCCACGCUGUAAACGGUGGGUACUAGGUGUGGGGUCCAUUCCACGGGUUCCGUGCCGUAGCUAACGCUUUAAGUACCCCGCCUGGGGAGUACGGCCGCAAGGCUAAAACUCAAAGGAAUUGACGGGGCCCCGCACAAGCGGCGGAGCAUGCGGAUUAAUUCGAUGCAACGCGUAGAACCUUACCUGGGUUUGACAUGGAUCGGGAGUGCUCAGAGAUGGGUGUGCCUCUUUUGGGGUCGGUUCACAGGUGGUGCAUGCCUGUCGUCAGCUCGUGUCGUGAGAUGUUGGGUUAAGUCCCGCAACGAGCGCAACCCUUGUUCACUGUUGCCAGCACGUUAUGGUGGGGACUCAGUGGAGACCGCCGGGGUCAACUCGGAGGAAGGUGGGGAUGACGUCAAGUCCUCAUGCCCCUUAUGUCCAGGGCUUCACGCAUGCUACAAUGGCUGGUACAGAGAGUGGCGAGCCUGCGAGGGUGAGCGAAUCUCGGAAAGCCGGUCUCAGUUCGGAUUGGGGUCUGCAACUCGACCUCAUGAAGUCGGAGUCGCUAGUAAUCGCAGAUCAGCAACGCUGCGGUGAAUACGUUCCCGGGGCU
RNAcentral lists this ribosomal RNA (1346 nucleotides) under uncultured bacterium. Its description in RNAcentral is "bacterial SSU rRNA". It matches the Rfam family "Bacterial small subunit ribosomal RNA", at positions 28 to 1381 of the family's 1533-position model. The record is from RNAcentral.